UAUAGCAUUGGCUUUGAUGGGCCAUAUACAACUUCACCAGAUGCAUGAAGUGCUAGCUAGAAAUUCUGGUCUAUGUACGAUACACCUGGCUGGCAGGACAAGAAGGCAGACAAUGAAUCGUGGGAUCAAAGAGAAUGUAACUGUAGAAUGAACGUGAGCAGAUCAUGACCACCAUCGUAUGGCUCAAUCAGAGUCUGAAUUCACUGCUGCUGCUGAAGGAUGCAGAGAAGUACUCUGGUUGGAGAAGCUGCUGGACAACUCUGGGAUUAAGGAAGAAAUGCUAAUCCGGGUGAUGGAAGACAGUCAGAGCUGCAUGAAGAGCUGCAUCAAGCUCUAGCAAAGUGAGAAAAUAAAUGCACACCCCAAACACAUGGUGUGUGACCUGACUAAGAAAGGCGUCAUUAAGAUGGGCUACUCUGCCGCACCACAGAAAUGACGGUAGACAUCCUCAUUAAGCUUUUUCCAAGAGACUGUUUCCAGAACUUGCACAGCAAGAUGGGUCUUCAAGAGAGUGGCUGCAUGCAACUUCGAGAAGGGGUAUUUGAGUUUUAUUCACAAUCUUGCUUGCUAUCUAUAGCUUGAGUGACUAGUUGGGACUUUGCUGGACUAGGGUGAUUGUCUGUCUAGCUUCAGCUAUUUUUAAGGUGCAGAACUGGCUGCUAAACAGAGUCAUCAUCUGAUAGACAAGUAAUGGCAACAGGCCAUAUUCAUAAUGCAUAAUGCAAUAACAUUGCUUUUGUAGAUAGAGGAACAAUCACAAGAACAAACAUUUUGCAGCCUCAUUUUGUAUCAUUUUACAAAAUCACAUCUCAAGCACUAGAUUUAGGUAACUUAGACCUUUGGCCACCGUACUGUUUCUUUAUGGGGGUCUUUUUGCUAUAGGAACCCCCUUCCUUUGUCUUGAGGGCCCAUGUCUCUCAGGAUGACUUAACAGUAGCAUCAUUCUAUAUUUUCCAUAUUUGGUACCCAUCCUUGGUCUUAAAGACAUGCUCCCAGGUCUGGGUUCUUAUGAAUAGUCUUACAAAAAACUAUUUGGAACGGGCUCUACCCAAACUUGAGUAGAGGAUGGUUCAAGUUAAUUCUUUUCCAGGUACCAAAUACAAUCCCAUCAUUACUUCUCUGUCAUAGACCUUUGCAGAAUAUAACCCACCAUGACAGUACAAAUUGAGGAGAUUAAGCCAUCAGAUGUAAUAGAUAUUAGCCAACUCAGGCCUUUCUGCAUUAGAAACGUUGCCUAGAUUGGGACCCUUAUUGUGAAAAAUUGUUAAAAAAACCAAAACCUGAUGAAAAGAAGGAGAGAGAGAAAUGAGUAAAUCUUGUAGUGAGUCUUAUUUUUAUUUAUGAACACUAUACAGUUUUGACACAUCAGGGUUUUCUCUAUGCAUCGGAAUUAAGGACACUUUGUCUCACAGACUGGCUACUGAUGAGUUCUGAUGGCAGUCACAAACUACGUUUUCUCUCCGAAAAACUGCAAACUCUGUGUGCCUUGUAUAAGUUUCCUGGUGGCAGGGAGAGAAACCACACCUCCAUUUUAUGACAUUCAUACAAGCAGCUGGAAUGUCUGAUACUGAAGACGAAGAAAAUGAAGGACACUUACAGAGCCCUUCAGCAAGAACCUGUUAUAUAUACGGAACACAUUGUGAGAGCGAAGGGAUGAGCUCUGAAUGCAGCCACACAGCUUACUUUAGCUUAAACAGAGUGACAAGUAUAUUACCGUGCAGGCUAUCAAUAACAUAUCUAAAUGCAUCAGAUAAGCCAGGUACAGCUGGUCAUGUAGGUCCUCUGAUGAUAAGAGGGUAAUAUUGCCCUGUGAUGCAGAGUUACAACCAAGCCACACUGCCUUAUUCCUUUGAAUGUCCUCAGCUGACAUAUCCAGUCAUCUUUAUCUGGCUUAAUGAACUGCAGGCUGGCAGCGUAACAAGCAGUGGUGCUGGAGAUGUCUUCCUCUCCUGCCUCCAACUGUACGUAACAACUGAUACAGAUACGCAAGGAAAAAAUCAAUAUCCAUUUUUGAAAACAGCAGUGGCAAGUUGCUUUUUAUAGAACACUGUCCCACUUGCAUCUGUCUUUAUU
Non-coding RNA from Pogona vitticeps (central bearded dragon), 2073 nucleotides. Lineage: Eukaryota; Metazoa; Chordata; Lepidosauria; Squamata; Agamidae. The record is from RefSeq and is a predicted model, not a curated record.